This 468-nucleotide ribosomal RNA is filed under the name uncultured bacterium. RNAcentral describes it as "partial 16S ribosomal RNA". It matches the Rfam family "Bacterial small subunit ribosomal RNA", at positions 28 to 507 of the family's 1533-position model. The record is from RNAcentral.
GACGAACGCUGGCGGCGUGCUUAACACAUGCAAGUCGAACGGAAAGGCCCUGCUUUUGUGGGGUGCUCGAGUGGCGAACGGGUGAGUAACACGUGAGUAACCUGCCCUUGACUUUGGGAUAACUUCAGGAAACUGGGGCUAAUACCGGAUAGGAGCUCCUGCUGCAUGGUGGGGGUUGGAAAGUUUCGGCGGUUGGGGAUGGACUCGCAGCUUACCAGCUUGUUGGUGGGGUAGUGGCUUACCAAGGCUUUGACGGGUAGCCGGCCUGAGAGGGUGACCGGCCACAUUGGGACUGAGAUACGGCCCAGACUCCUACGGGAGGCAGCAGUGGGGAAUAUUGCACAAUGGGUGGAAGCCUGAUGCAGCAACGCCGCGUGCGGGAUGACGGCCUUCGGGUUGUAAACCGCUUUCGCCUGUGACGAAGCGUGAGUGACGGUAAUGGGUAAAGAAGCACCGGCUAACUACGUG